CCUACGGGUGGCUGCAGUGGGGAAUAUUGGACAAUGGGCGAAAGCCUGAUCCAGCCAUGCCGCGUGUGUGAAGAAGGCCUUCGGGUUGUAAAGCACUUUCAGUGGGGAAGAAAGCCUUGGGGCUAAUACCCUCGAGGAAGGACAUCACCCACAGAAGAAGCACCGGCUAACUCCGUGCCAGCAGCCGCGGUAAUACGGAGGGUGCGAGCGUUAAUCGGAAUUACUGGGCGUAAAGCGCGCGUAGGCGGUCUGAUAAGCCGGGUGUGAAAGCCCCGGGCUCAACCUGGGAACGGCAUCCGGAACUGUCAGGCUAGAGUGCAGGAGAGGAAGGUAGAAUUCCCGGUGUAGCGGUGAAAUGCGUAGAGAUCGGGAGGAAUACCAGUGGCGAAGGCGGCCUUCUGGACUGACACUGACGCUGAGGUGCGAAAGCGUGGGUAGCAAACAGGAUUAGAUACCCCGGUAGUC
This 465-nucleotide ribosomal RNA is filed under the name Vreelandella stevensii. Its description in RNAcentral is "partial 16S ribosomal RNA". It matches the Rfam family "Bacterial small subunit ribosomal RNA", at positions 338 to 795 of the family's 1533-position model. The record is from RNAcentral. Lineage: Bacteria; Pseudomonadati; Pseudomonadota; Gammaproteobacteria; Oceanospirillales; Halomonadaceae.